CCGCCGCAGCGCAUGAACUUGGACGAGGCGUGUCCUGCCACAUAGAGGGCUUGGGAGUGGUGCGCUGCGGGAGCCUUGCGGCAUGGAAGGAGCAGAAGGCCCAAGAACGGGUCUGGGCGGAAAAGCAGCAAGAAGAGGGUUGCGCCGUGGUUGUUUUGGAAGUAGCGGGCGAA
Molecule: non-coding RNA, 173 nt
Filed under: Symbiodinium sp. Mp
Lineage: Eukaryota; Dinophyceae; Suessiales; Symbiodiniaceae
Source: RNAcentral